AAGCUCGUAGUUGAAUUUCGGGAUCAAUGUUUCGGUCAUGCCGUUGGUAUGUACUGAUAUUAUUGAUUUCUCACCUUCUAAAGAACCGUAAUGCCAUUAAUUUGGUGUCACGGGGAAUUAGGACUGUUACCUUGAAAAAAUUAGAGUGUUUAAAGCAGGCUCACGCUUGAAUACAUUAGCAUGGAAUAAUGAAAUAGGACAUCCGAUUCUAUUUUGUUGGUUUCUAGGAUCGAUGUAAUGAUAAAUAGGGAUAGUUGGG
Molecule: ribosomal RNA, 259 nt
Filed under: uncultured Glomus
Lineage: Eukaryota; Fungi; Glomeromycota; Glomeromycetes; Glomerales; Glomeraceae
Description: partial 18S ribosomal RNA
Rfam family: Eukaryotic small subunit ribosomal RNA
Source: RNAcentral